Molecule: microRNA precursor, 206 nt
Filed under: Oryza meridionalis
Lineage: Eukaryota; Viridiplantae; Streptophyta; Magnoliopsida; Poales; Poaceae
Description: MIR812 microRNA precursor family
Rfam family: MIR812 microRNA precursor family
Source: Rfam by way of RNAcentral
UAUAAGGGAUUUUGAGUUUUUGCUUGCAAUGUUUGACCAUUCGUCUUAUUCAAAUUUUUUUAAAAUUAUUAUUUAUUUUAUUUGUGACUUACUUUAUUAUCUAUAGUAUUUUAAGCACAACUUUUUAUUUUUUAUAUUUGCAAAAAAAAAUUUAAAUAAGACGAGUGGUCAAAUGUUGUAAUCAAAGACUCAAAAUCCCUUGUAUC